This 625-nucleotide long non-coding RNA is filed under the name Elaeis guineensis (African oil palm). Its description in RNAcentral is "long non-coding RNA (EGUI_LNC034324)". Lineage: Eukaryota; Viridiplantae; Streptophyta; Magnoliopsida; Arecales; Arecaceae. The record is from RNAcentral.
AGGCAGUUGCUAGACUAUCUCUUUCCGACACCAUCAACCACCACAUACUACAUCGCAUGGGUUUCUUUAAGACCGAUGGCGGUUGGACAAAGGAUGUUGUGGAGAGAGUGGAGGAUAAAGCAGAGGAGGAGGGACCAUCUUCACCUCUUCAUGAUCACAGAGCAUCCCCAGAUAUUCAGUUCAUAUCUGAUCACGAGGCUGGUCCUUCAGAGUCUGUGAGGAGGCAUGCUUCAGUUCCACAGUCAGAGAGUAGGGCACAUCCUUCAGAGUUUAGGCUAGCAGAUGAUCAGAUUGAGAUGAUGUCCCAACGUGUUGCCUCCAUUCUAUCUCAGCAGUUUGCCACUUCAGUCUUUGCACAGAGAUCGACAUCCCAGGAUGACUCAGACUAGACUCUAAUCCCUCAUAUUUUUACUAUUUUUCAGAUGCUUACUGAUCAGUCGGUACGCAUUGAGCAGCUUGAGGGAUGUAUUUUGAGAUUGACAGGUAGAGUAUUAGAUUUACAGGGGCAAGUAUUAGCUUUAGCCCAUCCCCAGCCGCAUGAGGAUAUCACAGAGGUCUCAGACCUAACUGCAGAGGUGGCUAGACUUCGAGGAGUCUUAGAGAGUGGUUUUGACUUCUUGAGGAG